Molecule: long non-coding RNA, 448 nt
Organism: Xiphophorus couchianus (Monterrey platyfish)
Lineage: Eukaryota; Metazoa; Chordata; Actinopteri; Cyprinodontiformes; Poeciliidae
Exons: 3
Source: RefSeq, a predicted model, not a curated record
AAAUCCAAGAUGGCCGAACAUAAUGUCGAAGUGUUCACAAAUUAAGCCGAUAUCAACCUUGAAACGCUGUUGCUUUGGAUUUGUCUUUUUACAAUGGUCAAAGAGAAGGCACCGGUCAGAGGCCAUUAUUAAGUCAAUCACCAAAAAGGAAAAAAGAAGUUUGUUUAUUGGAGCCUCGUCAUGUCGCUGUCUGUGCCGGUGAGAUGUGCAUGUGCCUCAGUUGGGGUUACACUUCAAUUGGGAUGUGUGUCAUCUAAAACUGCACUCAGUUUUGGACCUCUAAUCCUCCAAGUGAAGAGCGGAAAAGCCCCACAGAGUGCAGCAAGCACAAAGGAUUAGAGACAGCCCAACCCAAAAAGGCUUACCUUGUGAGUCUCUCAUACCAGAGUAAAUUGCAUCCAUCAGUGUGUCAGCUGAGCUGGACUCCUGCCUAACCAUCAGUCCUUCU